CAGUAACUGGCUUCUCAAAUAGAAUUGGGUUGAAUGACAACAUUUUGAAUUGUCCGGCGGCUUUGGAUCACAACUAACUUUCUGUCAAGAUUCAUGAUGUAUGAACCAAUGAAUUAGAAUUAUUUUUUAUAGUUCAUUUUAUAUUUGCAAUGAAAUGUCUCUCGGGGUCUCAUUGUGGUUAAUGUAAUGGCACUGCUGAUACAAGUAUCUGGGUGAAAAGGGGCGUUUCAUUGUUUCCUUAGCUAAGAAAUCAAGAAUUCUGAAGUGGGAAUGAAGAAACAAUCAAGCAUUUUUGUCUGAUGAUUUUGGUUUCACUUGUUAUCUUUUGGUACAAAUGAGGGUGCUCAUAUCUCCCAAGUAUCCGUCUGUUGUGUAAUAAUCCAGUUACCAAUGGUCUAACAAAGCUGGCCAAGUAGAGGUAGAACAGUAGAUUACCUCUCCUUAAAUGGGAAUUUGGGGGAAAGGGUAUUGGUUAUGAUUAUUUGCUCGCGCAUUUAGUGCGGCCUUCAAAUGCACGGC
Molecule: unclassified non-coding RNA, 519 nt
Filed under: Hevea brasiliensis (rubber tree)
Lineage: Eukaryota; Viridiplantae; Streptophyta; Magnoliopsida; Malpighiales; Euphorbiaceae
Source: RNAcentral